RNAcentral lists this ribosomal RNA (468 nucleotides) under uncultured bacterium. RNAcentral describes it as "partial 16S ribosomal RNA". It matches the Rfam family "Bacterial small subunit ribosomal RNA", at positions 28 to 507 of the family's 1533-position model. The record is from RNAcentral.
GACGAACGCUGGCGGCGUGCUUAACACAUGCAAGUCGAACGGAAAGGCCCUGCUUUUGUGGGGUGCUCGAGUGGCGAACGGGUGAGUAACACGUGAGUAACCUGCCCUUGACUUUGGGAUAACUUCAGGAAACUGGGGCUAAUACCGGAUAGGAGCUCCUGCUGCAUGGUGGGGGUUGGAAAGUUUCGGCGGUUGGGGCUGGACUCGCGGCUUAUCGGCUUGUUGGUGGGGUAGUGGCUUACCAAGGCUUUGACGGGUAGCCGGCCUGAGAGGGUGACCGGCCACAUUGGUACUGAGAUACGGCGCAGACUCCUACGGGAGGCAGCAGUGGGGAAUAUUGCACAACGGGCGGAAGCCUGAUGCAGCAACGCCGCGUGCGGGAUGACGGCCUUCGGGGUGUAAACCGCUUUCGCCUGUGACGAAGCGUGAGUGACGGUAAUGGGUAAAGAAGCACCGGCUAACUACGUG